AUUGAACGCUGGCGGCAUGCUUUACACAUGCAAGUCGAACGGUAACAGGCCUUCGGGUGCUGACGAGUGGCGAACGGGUGAGUAAUGCAUCGGAACGUACCCAGAGGUGGGGGAUAACGCAGCGAAAGCUGUGCUAAUACCGCAUGUGAUCUGAGGAUGAAAGCGGGGGACCGAGCAGCAAUGUUUGGCCUCGCGCCUUUGGAGCGGCCGAUGUCGGAUUAGCUAGUUGGUGGGGUAAAGGCCUACCAAGGCGACGAUCCGUAGCUGGUCUGAGAGGACGACCAGCCACACUGGGACUGAGACACGGCCCAGACUCCUACGGGAGGCAGCAGUGGGGAAUUUUGGACAAUGGGCGCAAGCCUGAUCCAGCAAUGCCGCGUGCGGGAAGAAGGCCUUCGGGUUGUAAACCGCUUUUGGCGGGAACGAAACGGUGUCCGCUAAUACCGGGCGCUAAUGACGGUACCUGCAGAAUAAGCACCGGCUAACCACGUG
This 492-nucleotide ribosomal RNA is filed under the name uncultured bacterium. Its description in RNAcentral is "partial 16S ribosomal RNA". It matches the Rfam family "Bacterial small subunit ribosomal RNA", at positions 29 to 507 of the family's 1533-position model. The record is from RNAcentral.